This 497-nucleotide ribosomal RNA is filed under the name uncultured bacterium. RNAcentral's name for it is "partial 16S ribosomal RNA". It matches the Rfam family "Bacterial small subunit ribosomal RNA", at positions 28 to 507 of the family's 1533-position model. The record is from RNAcentral.
GAUGAACGCUGGCGGCGUGCCUAAUACAUGCAAGUCGAGCGAACGGACGAGAAGCUUGCUUCUCUGAUGUUAGCGGCGGACGGGUGAGUAACACGUGGAUAACCUACCUAUAAGACUGGGAUAACUUCGGGAAACCGGAGCUAAUACCGGAUAAUAUUUUGAACCGCAUGGUUCAAAAGUGAAAGACGGUCUUGCUGUCACUUAUAGAUGGAUCCGCGCUGCAUUAGCUAGUUGGUAAGUUAACGGCUUAGCAAGGCAACGAUGCAUAGCCGACCUGAGAGGGUGAUCGGCCACACUGGAAGUGAGACACGGUCCAGACUCCUAAGGGAGGCAGCAGUAGGGAAUCUUCCGCAAUGGGCGAGAGCCUGACGGAGCAGCGCCGCGUGAGUGAUGAAGGUCUUCGGAUCGUAAAACUCUGUUAUUAGGGAAGAACAUAUGUGUAAGUAACUGUGCACAGCUUGACGGUAACUAAUCAGAAAGCCACGGCUAACUACGUG